This 378-nucleotide ribosomal RNA is filed under the name uncultured archaeon. Its description in RNAcentral is "bacterial SSU rRNA". It matches the Rfam family "Archaeal small subunit ribosomal RNA", at positions 691 to 1068 of the family's 1478-position model. The record is from RNAcentral.
CCGACGGUGAGAGGUGAAAGCUGGGGGCACGAACCGGAUUAGAUACCCGGGUAGUCCCAGCCGUAAACGAUGCUCGCUAGGUGUCAGGCAUGGCGCGACCGUGUCUGGUGCCGCAGGGAAGCCGUGAAGCGAGCCACCUGGGAAGUACGGCCGCAAGGCUGAAACUUAAAGGAAUUGGCGGGGGAGCACAACAACGGGUGGAGCCUGCGGUUUAAUUGGACUCAACGCCGGACAACUCACCGGGGGCGACAGCAAUAUGUAGGCCAAGCUGAAGACUUUGCCUGAAUCGCUGAGAGGAGGUGCAUGGCCGUCGCCAGUUCGUACUGUGAAGCAUCCUGUUAAGUCAGGCAACGAGCGAGACCCGUGCCCACUGUUACC